GUUGGUUAAGUCCCGCAACGAGCGCAACCCUUGUCUUUAGUUGCCAUCAUUAAGUUGGGCACUCUAAAGAGACUGCCGGUGUCAAACCGGAGGAAGGUGGGGAUGACGUCAAGUCCUCAUGGCCUUUAUGACCAGGGCUACACACGUACUACAAUGGCAGGUACAAAGGGCAGCCACUUAGCGAUAAGGCGCGAAUCCCGUAAAACCUGUCUCAGUCCGGAUUGGAGUCUGCAACUCGACUCCAUGAAGUUGGAAUCGCUAGUAAUCGCAGAUCAGCACGCCGCGGUGAAUACGUUCCCGGGCCUU
Molecule: ribosomal RNA, 306 nt
Filed under: uncultured Desulfocapsa sp.
Lineage: Bacteria; Pseudomonadati; Thermodesulfobacteriota; Desulfobulbia; Desulfobulbales; Desulfocapsaceae
Description: bacterial SSU rRNA
Rfam family: Bacterial small subunit ribosomal RNA
Source: RNAcentral